GAUGAACGCUGGCGGCGUGCCUAAUACAUGCAAGUCGAGCGAACGGACGAGAAGCUUGCUUCUCUGAUGUUAGCGGCGGACGGGUGAGUAACACGUGGAUAACCUACCUAUAAGACUGGGAUAACUUCGGGAAACCGGAGCUAAUACCGGAUAAUAUUUUGAACGGGAUGGUUCAAAAGUGAAAGACGGUUUUGCUGUCACUUAGAGAUGGAUCCGCGCUGCAUUAGCUAGUUGGUAAGGUAACGGCUUACCAAGGCAGCGAUGCAUAGGCGACCUGAGAGGGUGAUCGCCCACACUGGAACUGAGACACGGUCCUGACUCCUACGGUAGGCAGCAGUAGCGAAUCUUCCGCAAUAGGCGAAAGCCUGACGGAGCAACGCCACGUGAGUGACGAAGGUCUUCCGAUCGUAAAACUCUGUUAUGAGGGAAAAACAUAUGUGUAAGUAACUGUGCACAUCUUGACGGUACCUAAUCAGAAAGCCCCGGCUAACUACGUG
Molecule: ribosomal RNA, 497 nt
Filed under: uncultured bacterium
Lineage: Bacteria
Description: partial 16S ribosomal RNA
Rfam family: Bacterial small subunit ribosomal RNA
Source: RNAcentral